Molecule: ribosomal RNA, 480 nt
Filed under: uncultured bacterium
Lineage: Bacteria
Description: bacterial SSU rRNA
Rfam family: Bacterial small subunit ribosomal RNA
Source: RNAcentral
AGUGAACGCUGGCGGCAGGCCUAACACAUGCAAGUCGAACGGCAGCACGGCAGUAGCAAUACUGUGGGUGGCGAGUGGCGGACGGGUGAGGAAUACAUCGGGAUCUACCCUGUUGUGGGGGAUAACGUAGGGAAACUUACGCUAAUACCGCAUAAGAACUGAGGUUGAAAGCGGCGGACCGCAAGGCGUCGCGCGAUUGGAUGAACCGAUGUCCGAUUAGCUAGUUGGCGGGGCAAAGGCCCACCAAGGCGACGAUCGGUAGCUGGUCUGAGAGGACGACCAGCCACACUGGAACUGAGACACGGUCCAGACUCCUACGGGAGGCAGCAGUGGGGAAUAUUGGACAAUGGGCGCAAGCCUGAUCCAGCCAUGCCGCGUGGGUGAAGAAGGCCUCGGUUGUAAGACCUUUCGUCCGGUAACGAAAGACAUUCGGUUAAUACCGGUAGUUCGUGACGGUACCGGAAGAAGUAAGACACCGGC